GAGAGAAGAACAUAUAAGGAUAGCCAAGGAGACUGCCUAAUAUCAUUUUGUAAGCAAAAUGGUCAAAAUUGAAACUACCUACAGUAACUUUUAAACAUGACACCAUGCCCAUUUUACUUCUCAAAGAAAUAGGCAAGUCAUCCUUGGCUACCAAAUAUGAUUCUUCUAU
Brassica rapa (field mustard) is the source of this 169-nucleotide non-coding RNA. NCBI's taxonomy places the organism in Eukaryota, Viridiplantae, Streptophyta, Magnoliopsida, Brassicales, Brassicaceae. The record is from Rfam.